GGUUAAGCGACUAAGCGUACACGGUGGAUGCCCUGGCAGUCAGAGGCGAUGAAGGGCGUGCUAAUCUGCGAUAAGCGCCGGUAAGGUGAUAUGAACCGUUAUAACCGGCGAUACCCGAAUGGGGAAACCCAGUGUGAUCGUCACACUAUCAUUAACUGAAUCCAUAGGUUAAUGAGGCGAACCGGGGGAACUGAAACAUCUAAGUACCCCGAGGAAAAGAAAUCAACCGAGAUUCCCCCAGUAGCGGCGAGCGAACGGGGAGGAGCCCAGAGCCUGAAUCAGCAUGUGUGUUAGUGGAAGCGUCUGGAAAGGCGCGCGAUACAGGGUGACAGCCCCGUACACAAAAGCGCAUGUGCUGUGAGCUCGAUGAGUAGGGCGGGACACGUGGUAUCCUGUCUGAAUAUGGGGGGACCAUCCUCCAAGGCUAAAUACUCCUGACUGACCGAUAGUGAACCAGUACCGUGAGGGAAAGGCGAAAAGAACCCCGGCGAGGGGAGUGAAAAAGAACCUGAAACCGUGUACGUACAAGCAGUGGGAGCACAGGUUUACCUGUGUGACUGCGUACCUUUUGUAUAAUGGGUCAGCGACUUAUAUUCUGUAGCAAGGUUAACCGAAUAGGGGAGCCGCAGGGAAACCGAGUCUUAAUUGGGCGUUAAGUUGCAGGGUAUAGACCCGAAACCCGGUGAUCUAGCCAUGGGCAGGUUGAAGGUUGGGUAACACUAACUGGAGGACCGAACCGACUAAUGUUGAAAAAUUAGCGGAUGACCUGUGGCUGGGGGUGAAAGGCCAAUCAAACCGGGAGAUAGCUGGUUCUCCCCGAAAGCUAUUUAGGUAGCGCCUCGUGAAUUCAUCUCCGGGGGUAGAGCACUGUUUCGGCUAGGGGGCCAUCCCGGCUUACCAACCCGAUGCAAACUGCGAAUACCGGAGAAUGUUAUCACGGGAGACACACGGCGGGUGCUAACGUCCGUCGUGAAGAGGGAAACAACCCAGACCGCCAGCUAAGGUCCCAAAGUCAUGGUUAAGUGGGAAACGAUGUGGGAAGGCCCAGACAGCCAGGAUGUUGGCUUAGAAGCAGCCAUCAUUUAAAGAAAGCGUAAUAGCUCACUGGUCGAGUCGGCCUGCGCGGAAGAUGUAACGGGGCUAAACCAUGCACCGAAGCUGCGGCAGCGACACUAUGUGUUGUUGGGUAGGGGAGCGUUCUGUAAGCCUGUGAAGGUGUGUCGUGAGGCAUGCUGGAGGUAUCAGAAGUGCGAAUGCUGACAUAAGUAACGAUAAAGCGGGUGAAAAGCCCGCUCGCCGGAAGACCAAGGGUUCCUGUCCAACGUUAAUCGGGGCAGGGUGAGUCGACCCCUAAGGCGAGGCCGAAAGGCGUAGUCGAUGGGAAACGGGUUAAUAUUCCCGUACUUGGUGUUACUGCGAAGGGGGGACGGAGAAGGCUAUGUUGGCCGGGCGACGGUUGUCCCGGUUUAAGCGUGUAGGUGUGUGUUCCAGGUAAAUCCGGUUCACUUUAACACUGAGGCGUGACGACGAGGCACUACGGUGCUGAAGCAACAAAUGCCCUGCUUCCAGGAAAAGCCUCUAAGCAUCAGGUAACAUCAAAUCGUACCCCAAACCGACACAGGUGGUCAGGUAGAGAAUACCAAGGCGCUUGAGAGAACUCGGGUGAAGGAACUAGGCAAAAUGGUGCCGUAACUUCGGGAGAAGGCACGCUGACACGUAGGUGAAGUGAUUUACUCACGGAGCUGAAGUCAGUCGAAGAUACCAGCUGGCUGCAACUGUUUAUUAAAAACACAGCACUGUGCAAACACGAAAGUGGACGUAUACGGUGUGACGCCUGCCCGGUGCCGGAAGGUUAAUUGAUGUGGUCAGCGCAAGCGAAGCUCCUGAUCGAAGCCCCGGUAAACGGCGGCCGUAACUAUAACGGUCCUAAGGUAGCGAAAUUCCUUGUCGGGUAAGUUCCGACCUGCACGAAUGGCGUAAUGAUGGCCAGGCUGUCUCCACCCGAGACUCAGUGAAAUUGAACUCGCUGUGAAGAUGCAGUGUACCCGCGGCAAGACGGAAAGACCCCGUGAACCUUUACUAUAGCUUGACACUGAACAUUGAGCCUUGAUGUGUAGGAUAGGUGGGAGGCUUUGAAGCGUGGACGCCAGUCUGCAUGGAGCCGACCUUGAAAUACCACCCUUUAAUGUUUGAUGUUCUAACGUGGACCCGUUACCCGGGUUGCGGACAGUGUCUGGUGGGUAGUUUGACUGGGGCGGUCUCCUCCUAAAGAGUAACGGAGGAGCACGAAGGUUGGCUAAUCCUGGUCGGACAUCAGGAGGUUAGUGCAAUGGCAUAAGCCAGCUUGACUGCGAGCGUGACGGCGCGAGCAGGUGCGAAAGCAGGUCAUAGUGAUCCGGUGGUUCUGAAUGGAAGGGCCAUCGCUCAACGGAUAAAAGGUACUCCGGGGAUAACAGGCUGAUACCGCCCAAGAGUUCAUAUCGACGGCGGUGUUUGGCACCUCGAUGUCGGCUCAUCACAUCCUGGGGCUGAAGUAGGUCCCAAGGGUAUGGCUGUUCGCCAUUUAAAGUGGUACGCGAGCUGGGUUUAGAACGUCGUGAGACAGUUCGGUCCCUAUCUGCCGUGGGCGCUGGAGAACUGAGGGGGGCUGCUCCUAGUACGAGAGGACCGGAGUGGACGCAUCACUGGUGUUCGGGUUGUCAUGCCAAUGGCACUGCCCGGUAGCUAAAUGCGGAAGAGAUAAGUGCUGAAAGCAUCUAAGCACGAAACUUGCCCCGAGAUGAGUUCUCCCUGAGACUUUAAGUCUCCUGAAGGAACGUUGAAGACGACGACGUUGAUAGGCCGGGUGUGUAAGCGCAGCGAUGCGUUGAGCUAACCGGUACUAAUGAACCGUGAGGCUUAACCUU
Molecule: ribosomal RNA, 2906 nt
Filed under: Salmonella enterica subsp. enterica serovar Abortusequi
Lineage: Bacteria; Pseudomonadati; Pseudomonadota; Gammaproteobacteria; Enterobacterales; Enterobacteriaceae
Description: 23S ribosomal RNA
Rfam family: Bacterial large subunit ribosomal RNA
Source: RNAcentral